GUCGGUAAAACUCGUGCCAGCCACCGCGGUUAUACGAGUAACUCACAUUAAUACUUCACGGCGUAAAGGGUGAUUAAAAGUUUCUAAAAGGUACUAAAGCUAUAACCUUAUAAAGCUGUCAUACGCACCCAUAAAAGGAAUAAUACAUUGACGAAAGUAACUUUAACCCAAUAGAGCUUUUGAACUCACGACAGUUAAGACACAAACUGGGAUUAGAUACCCCACUAUG
Molecule: ribosomal RNA, 229 nt
Filed under: Raja texana (roundel skate)
Lineage: Eukaryota; Metazoa; Chordata; Chondrichthyes; Rajiformes; Rajidae
Description: partial small subunit ribosomal RNA
Source: RNAcentral